Molecule: ribosomal RNA, 253 nt
Filed under: uncultured bacterium
Lineage: Bacteria
Description: partial 16S ribosomal RNA
Rfam family: Bacterial small subunit ribosomal RNA
Source: RNAcentral
UACAGAGGAUGCAAGCGUUAUCCGGAAUGAUUGGGCGUAAAGAGUCCGUAGGUGGUUAUGUAAGUCUGUGGUUAAAGCGUGGAGCUCAACUCCAUAAGGGCCAUAGAAACUACAAGACUAGAGUAAGGUAGGGGUAGAGGGAAUUCUCGGUGUAGCGGUGAAAUGCGUAGAUAUCGGGAAGAACACCGGUGGCGAAGGCGCUCUACUGGACCUUAACUGACACUGAGGGACGAAAGCUAGGGGAGCGAAAGGG